UACGAAGGAUCCCAAGCGUUAUCCGGAUUUAUUGGGUUUAAAGGGUGCGUAGGCGGCUUAUUAAGUCAGAGGUGAAAGCCUGGAGCUUAACUCCAGAACUGCCUUUGAUACUGAUGAGCUUGAGUAUAUUUGAAGUGGGCGGAAUGUGUCAUGUAGCGGUGAAAUGCUUAGAUAUGACACAGAACACCAAUUGCGAAGGCAGCUCACUAAGCUAUAACUGACGCUCAUGCACGAAAGCGUGGGGAUCAAACAGGAUUAGAUACCCCAGUAGU
This 272-nucleotide ribosomal RNA is filed under the name uncultured bacterium. Its description in RNAcentral is "partial 16S ribosomal RNA". It matches the Rfam family "Bacterial small subunit ribosomal RNA", at positions 524 to 794 of the family's 1533-position model. The record is from RNAcentral.